UGUAGACUGAUCUAACACACUUCUGUUCACUCAAUUUUGUGAUAAUACUUUAUUGAAAAAUAAAUGCACCUAAAACAACCCGCAUCUUUAAAUACGCUAUAACAUUUGUUGAGAUGGUUGAGAUGAGGAGUAUGAACAUGAUAUGGUUCCAAGCUACAAGAUGAUAAAUGUUUUAAUCCAAAUUUUCAGAGAAGUUCCUCAUCACGUCAACGGAGAUAUAGAAAAUAAACAUAACAUCUAACAACCCCUUGCCAUAUAUAGUGAUGGAAAAUCGUCCGUUAAAAUUAUUAUAAAACAUUUAUUUGCCUAGAAAUUUUAUCCAAACUGUUUUUCACUCUUAUGCAUUGUUAUUAACAUCUCUUGGAACUAAAAAUAUUCGGUUCCAACUAGAGAUAUCGGCGUUCAAGGAUUCAUUCUUCACGACUUCCAAGAAUGCUUUGAUGGUAUUAUAGGGAUUAAGAAUUUAAUUGUAAUGAACCCUGAUAUUGAAUUGAAAAAUAAAAAAAUUAUUAGUGAUCAUGUGAGUGAAUAAAAUUCGGGCAACCUACUGAUAUAAAAUUCAAAAUUACGCUAGUCCAUAUUUAAAGAAUGGUGAAUCAAGUACCAGUCACUGUAAAAGACGGUGAAAUAUUAAUAAUAUAAAUAUAAUAAGUAAAAUAUUAUUAGGUGAUAUAUUUCUACCAGAAAUGUUAACCGUAGCAAAUAACGGAUUAGAUUUUGUAGAAUUUAUUAAUAAAAGGAAUAGAAGUAUUUCUAUAAUCCUAUCGAGACCACUAAAUAAUAUUCCAUAUAACUCAGAAAUUUAUGAUGUUUACAAAUUCGAUUAUUUUACAAAUCAGAUGAAAAUCGAAAACAAGAAGAAACAGAUUCAUAAACUGAUUAGAACUGAUCACAUGAAUCCAGAAAAGAAGAAAAAUAUUGUUAAAAUAUAUGUUUUUCUUAAGGCAGAUGAUCCGCUCACUUUACCUCUAAUGUGAGACAUUGUAUCAAAACUAUGGUGAAAGCUCCAGUUCAUGUGAAAUCGUACAGGUACCUCUAUGAAUUUGAGGAAGAAGUACGCGACAAAUAGACGACAUGCUAGAAAAAAGGAUCAUUAGGUCUUCGACCAGCCCCUGGUCUUCUAGAAUUUGGAUCGUACCAAAAAAGUUGGACGCAUCCAGACAACAGAAGUGGUGUCUGGUUGUAGACUACAGAAAAUUAAACGAAAGACUAUUGUUGAUCGGUAUCCAUUACCCAACAUAAACGAAAUACUUUAUAAAUUAGAUCGGCCGCAAUAUUUUAGCGCGUUAGAUCUUCUCAAUGGAUUCUAUUAAAUCGCGCUAAGUAAAGACUCUAUAGAAAAAACCGCCUUCAAUGUAGAUAAUAGCGAUUUUGAAUUCUUGAAAAUGCCAAUGGGUUUGAGAAACUCACCCAGCACUUUCCAAUGAUCUAUGGACGAAGUUUUAAAGGACCUUCAGAAUAAAGUCUGCCUCGGAUAUAUGGUCGACAAAAUUAUCUAUCAGGACUUCAGGAACAUGAGAAACCUGAGAUGAAUUUCGUGGGCAUAUCGUUACCCUACUAGUUGGUAUAAACCCAAAUCCGAAAAAAGUUCAUGCUAUACGAAAUUGUCCAAUUUCUCGACACAAAAAAAACGUUUUGGACUCCUAGGCUACUACAUAAAAUAUAUACAAAAUUUUACGAUAAUCUAAAACUUUUACAAAUUGCUUGAAAAAAUACAAAAAGGUUGAGUAUACGCGCGAGCUUGACAACCAGGACUAGAAAUUCCGCUGAAAUUAAUUAUUCUACAAUAGAGAAAGAGCUUCUCAUGAUAGUUUGCGAAAAUUAUCCAAAAUGAACUCGAUAGAAUUGGCCAAUUGCCAAACUUAUCAACGACCGAUAUUAAUUCUUCACCAAACUUAUCAACAAAUGACAUUGACAAAGUUCUAAAUGAACAAAAACAAAUAUAAAUCUUACAGAACAUUUAAAAUCAACUCCCUUUAGUAGAGACACGACCAAGUAACGACCUAGAAACUGUACAUACAGCCGAGAAUCCAAUAAAUUACUUAACUGUUACUGAAAAACCGAUUAAUUAAGACAAAAACAAAUUAUUUUAACCUGCGGCGAAAUAAAUGAUACAAUUUGCAAACGUGCAAAAAUAUUUAACAAUAUCCGAUUAAAUGUAAAAUUGGCAACUAGAAACCUAGAAAAUGCUAUAUUCAAAUUUACUAGAGAAUAUUUGAAUCAUCAAAUUACAUAAACUUCAUAUUUCAAGAAUCCUCUUGUACCUGAAAUAACUACUUUACAGAAAUAUUUCCAAAACUCGACGUUUAAAAUUCACUGUACUAAAUUCCAUAAAGUCAUCAUUAUAACCGAAGAACAACUGGAGAAAUUAAAAUACUAUCACAUAUAUAAAAAGGGAUAUCGCGGCAUCACCGAAUUAAAAUCGUCAUUAAAAUAGAAUUUAAUACUGGACAAAGAUGUCAUAAGACAUAAGAAAAAUUUGUGAAUAAUUGCGAGACGUAGGAAAGGAACGAAUAUGACAGAAGCUCUUCAAUUGUGAAGUUUAGUUUGACUCCUACAGCUCCAAAUGGCCUAUCAUAUCCAGACAGUUAGCAGCAUAUCUGUCGUAAAUGAAUUGUUAAGUUUCAUAACUCAUUACGGUUUACUCCAUGAAAUCAUAUCUGAUUUCAUUUCAGAAUUUAAAGAUAUCACACAAUAGAGCUCCCUAUCACCACAUCCAAAAACAUACUCAAAUUCAAGGUAGAACGAUUCCAUUCAAGUCUGAUAGAAUAUUUCAUAUGUUUAAGAGGUCAAGGUAAGGAACUGAAUCCUGUUCAAAUAAUAAAACACUCUAUUUUGGCUUAUGAAAACUCCAUACACUUGAUCACAAAAGUCAGCCCUCUUUGAAAUAAUAAAAGGCUACAUCAAUAGCAUUGAUCCGUUUGAUCUUGACGACCAUCUAAUUAUAUCAUAUUAUAAUCAAUCCAUAACCGAACAAAUGGCCAACAAGGAAGUAUAAUAAUAACAGAGUUUUUGAGUCCACUAAUUAGAAUACCAAAUCGAUGCGAAAUUUCAAUAAAAGAUGAAAAGUAUUAUAUGAAAAGCGAUAUCAAUUAGGCACAACCAUUGCUUCUAC
Long non-coding RNA from Diorhabda carinulata, 3115 nucleotides. RefSeq lists it as uncharacterized. Lineage: Eukaryota; Metazoa; Arthropoda; Insecta; Coleoptera; Chrysomelidae. The record is from RefSeq and is a predicted model, not a curated record. The transcript has 2 exons.